Molecule: ribosomal RNA, 447 nt
Filed under: uncultured bacterium
Lineage: Bacteria
Description: bacterial SSU rRNA
Rfam family: Bacterial small subunit ribosomal RNA
Source: RNAcentral
GACGAACGCUGGCGGCGUGCUUAACACAUGCAAGUCGAGCGGUAAGGCCCUUUCGGGGGUACACGAGCGGCGAACGGGUGAGUAACACGUGGGUGACCUGCCCUCAGCUCUGGGAUAAGCCUGGGAAACUGGGUCUAAUACCGGAUAUGACUCCAUGACGCAUGUUGUGGGGUGGAAAGCCUUGUGCGGCUGAGGAUGGGCCCGCGGCCUAUCAGCUUGUUGGUGGGGUGANGGCCUACCAAGGCGACGACGGGUAGCCGGCCUGAGAGGGCGACCGGCCACACUGGGACUGAGACACGGCCCAGACUCCUACGGGAGGCAGCAGUGGGGAAUCUUGCGCAAUGGGCGAAAGCCUGACGCAGCGACGCCGCGUGAGGGAUGACGGCCUGGUUGUAACGUACUUCUACGCUCGACGAGACGAGAGUGACGGUAGGAGCGAGAAGAAGC